UACAGAGGUCUCAAGCGUUGUUCGGAUUCAUUGGGCGUAAAGGGUGCGUAGGCGGCGCGGUAAGUCGGGUGUGAAAUCUUGGAGCUUAACUCCGAAACUGCAUUCGAUACUGCCGUGCUUGAGGACUGGAGAGGAGACUGGAAUUUACGGUGUAGCGGUGAAAUGCGUAGAUAUCGUAAGGAAGACCAGUGGCGAAGGCGGGUCUCUGGACAGUUCCUGACGCUGAGGCACGAAGGCCAAGGGAGCAAACGGG
Molecule: ribosomal RNA, 253 nt
Filed under: uncultured bacterium
Lineage: Bacteria
Description: partial 16S ribosomal RNA
Rfam family: Bacterial small subunit ribosomal RNA
Source: RNAcentral